UUCGAUCAUGGCUCAGAUUGAACGCUGGCGGGAUGCUUUACAUGCAAGUCGAACGGCAGCACGGACUUCGGUCUGGUGGCGAGUGGCGAACGGGUGAGUAAUGUAUCGGAACGUGCCUAGUAGCGGGGGAUAACUACGCGAAAGCGUAGCUAGCCUGCAUACGCCCUUCGGGAAAGCGGGGGACCUUCGGGCCUCGCACUAUUAGAGCGGCCGAUAUCGGAUUAGCUAGUUGGUGGGUAACGGCUCACCAAGGCGACGAUCCGUAGCUAGUUUGAAGAGACGACCAGCACACUGGGACUGAAGACGGCCCAGACUCCUACGGAGGGCAACGGUAGGGAAUUUUGGACCAAUGGGGAAACCCUGAUCAGCCACUCCGGUGUGCGAUGAAGGCCUUCGGGUUGUAAAGCACUUUUGGCGGAGAAGAAACGGCACGGGAUAAUACCCCGUGCAACUGACAGUACCUGCACAGAAUAAGCACCGGCUAACUACGUGCCCAGCAGCCGCGGUAAUACGCGGUGCAAGCGUUAAUCGGAAUUACUGGGCGUAAAGCGUGCCUGAGCGGUUCCGGAAAGAAAGAUGUGAAAUCCCAGAGCUUAACUUUGGAACUGCAUUUUUAACUACCGAGCUAGAGUGUGUCAGAGAGUGGAAUUCCGCGUGUAGCAGUGAAAUGCGUAGAUAUGCGGAGGAACACCGAUGGCGAAGGCAACCUCCUGGGAUAACACUGACGCUCAUGCACGAAAAAGCGUGGGGAGCAAACAGGAUUAGAUACCCUGGUAGUCCACGCCUAAACGAUGUCAACUAGCUGUUGGGGCCUUCGGGCCUUGGUAGCGCAGCUAACGCGUGAAGUUGACCGCCUGGAGUACGGUCGCAAGAUUAAAACUCAAAGGAAUUGACGGGGACCCGCACAAGCGGUGGAUGAUGUGGAUUAAUUCGAUGCAACGCGAAAAACCUUACCUACCCUUGACAUGUCUGGAAUCCCGAAGAGAUUUGGGAGUGCUCGCAAGAGGAACCGGAACACAGGUGCUGCAUGGCUGUCGUCAGCUCGUGUCGUGAGAUGUUGGGUUAAGUCCCGCAACGGCGCAACCCUUGUCAUUAGUUGCUACGAAGGGCACUCUAAUGAGACUGCCGGUGACAAACCGGAGGAAGGUGGGGAUGACGUCAAGUCCUCGUGGCCCUUAUGGGUAGGGCUUCACACGUCAUACAAUGGUCGGGACAGAGGGUCGCCAACCCGCGAGGGGGAGCCAAUCCCAGAAACCCGAUCGUAGUCCGGAUCAUAGUCUGCUUUCGACCGCGUGAAGUCGGAAUCGCUAGUAAUCGCGGAUCAGCAUGCUGCGGUGAAUACGUUCCCGGGCCUUGUACACACCGCCCGUCACACCAUGGAGUUGGUUUUACCCGAAGGUAGUGCGCUAACCGCAAGGAGGCAGCUAACCACGGUAGGGUCAGCGACUGGGGUGAAGUCGUAACAAGGCAG
RNAcentral lists this ribosomal RNA (1471 nucleotides) under uncultured Bordetella sp. RNAcentral describes it as "partial 16S-23S ribosomal RNA intergenic spacer". It matches the Rfam family "Bacterial small subunit ribosomal RNA". The record is from RNAcentral. Lineage: Bacteria; Pseudomonadati; Pseudomonadota; Betaproteobacteria; Burkholderiales; Alcaligenaceae.